GUAAAUAUAUAAUACCUCUUAGGAACCACAAGAAUUCUUAAAGUUAUACUAUGGCACUCCUGAAAAAUAAGUGACUUAAAGGAAGGAAUUCUAGCUUAUGAUGGCACUAGGUUCCCUUCCCCUCAUGUAGGCUCUCCUAACUAAUCAGUGAAAUAACAAUAAAUUCACAGAAAGAGGCAAACAUUAAUAAUACUGAAAACUAAGUCUGACAGAACGUCUGUUGGCAAAAUUCACGUGAAAUUUCCCUAAGGCAGGUGGAACUGGUUGAAGAAAACCAAUGUUUUCUUGGUUUUCAGUGGUACGGCGUGGUGAUUAUAGUUAACAAUAAUGUAUACUUGAAAUUUGCUAAGAGAAUAGAUUUAAGUAUUCUCACUACAGGAAAAAAAGGGAACUGUGUGAGGUGCUAGAUAGUUAAUUAGUUUGAUUGUGGUAAUCAUUUCACAAUGUAUGUGUGUAUAUUUAAGGUGAUAUCAACAUCAGUUUGUACAACUUAAAUAUAUACAAUUUGUAUUAGUUAACAAUACCUCAAUAAAGCUGGAUUAAAAAGAGAAAAAAACCUAUUGGUGGCUUCUUUUGGCUUUCCCUUAUUAAACAGAGAGGCCUCAAUGACUGGAAAGAUGACAGGAAGACCCAUUGCCCCUUCCCCACUCUCUGUCACCAGCUUAGAGACCAGGUCAAUACAUCCAACUUGGAGCACGCCAUUUACUGCCGGAAGCAUCUGUAAUCCUUCUCUUUUCACCCCAUCUUUUUAAUUCUGUUGAGAGAUGACCACUCUCAGAAACGAGCAGGACAGGAAGGACAGUGAUUUUGUAGUUGCUUUGAAAGUAUUGCAAUAACAAAGCUUACUGGAUAGUGUAGUUUUUCUGGCAGGGUAUUGGUGACAGAGAAGGAGGUAGCAUGAGAAAGGGCCAUUUUUUUAUAAAAACCUAGGGUGACAGGUUUAAUCAUAUAGGUUAGCAUUUUUAAAAAGUAGAUGGAAGUUUUAUUAUAUGAAACUUUGGUUGGGGCAUUGGGUUAGGAGUACUUUGUUUUUGAAAGUCCUGGCUGUUGAAUAUCAGGUCCCUGAAGAGAAUGAAGCAAUAUUUGGAGGAAUUUCUUUUCUUUUUCUACUAUCCUUAAGUAUGUGUUUCCUGAGAGUAGCUAGUACCUUCCUCUAAAGAUUUACUUGUUGCAUUUUUUUUUCUUAGUGACAAGCAUAAGGGCAUAUUUUACGACAUGUUGGUAGAAAAACUUCUGUUGGAUGAUUAUUUAUGGUAUAUGCCUAUGAUGUAUAAGGCAAUAUGCUAGCUUGAUAAGCAUCCAAAGAGAUAUAGAACUGGAUGACUGGACAAGUGAAGGAGCUAGAAAUGUUUCAUAGUUUUAUCUCAUUUACUUUGAACAACAUUUCUUCAAGAUAGAUGUUACCCUGAUUUUGUUUUUAAAUACACAGUAAGGGAGUACAUAAAGUAUCACAGAUAAAUCAGUGUGAAAGUUAAGACAGAUAUUUCCCCUUCAAGCUUUAAAAUGAAGAUAAGGACUUGGGAUGGUGAUGAUAUUAUUCACUUGUGCACCUGAAGAAACAGCCCUGAGGAGGAAAGAGUGUCUCAUAUCCUGGAAGACUCAGAACUUCUACAAAAGAAUAGAAGUUUCAUAUUGAGAUACUUCCCAUAGGAGUGAGUCACCGGCUGCUAAGAUCGCCCAAGAUAAACAGCUGAGUGGAAUCACAUUUUAAAUAUCUGGAAAACCUUCUUCCUCUUCCUUUUGGUAUACUUAUAUAUAAUUAUAAUAUAUAUUAUAUAAGUAUAUAUACUACUGCACUCUAGCCUGGGCAACAUAAUGAGGCCCUGCCUCAAACAAAUAAACUAAACAAAACAAGAAACCUGCAGUAACAGGGAUGCCUAGAAGAGGGUAACACAGAGCUAACCUGUAGUAAGUUCAGUAAGUGUUGAAUCAAUGAAUGAAUGGGUUCCUUGGAUGAGGGAGAAAGCCCAAAGCUCAGCGUGUUGUAGUUAUUUGUUACAUUUAUAUACAAGGUUGUCCAGGAUGUAUAAUCCAGGCUUUGUUGAGUGGAUGAGGGUAUCCUGACUGGGGCCUGGCAACCCCCCGACAUCCACAGAGGAAAACAAGUGUUUGUGAGAGAAGUGAUAGAAUUUGUCAAAAGUAUAUGAAAUUAGUUACAUAAAAUCUGAAACAUACAUUGUGGUUCUGUUUGUCCUGUGACUAUGUAAAAUUGCCAUUGAAAAAACCCAGAAAGCCGGAGAUGGAUCUGUGGCAGUACAAGGGAGAGCUAAUUAUAACACCAUUGUGUCACUCAAAUGUUGUGGUCAGACUAUUGAAGGUGUCUUUUAUUUCAAGUGAACUUUUUCUUUUCUUUUUUUUUUUUUAACUGAGGGUGACCCAUGUUCUGACUUCCUUUUGAAGUCAUCAGGCCUCAUAAACAGAAUCAGACUUGAAUGCUUAAGUCAUCCCUUUCCUGUUUGUAGAAUACUACCCUAUUCCACUUUUUCCUGUUUGGAUGCUUUCUUACUUGUCCUGUUUGAUCCUUUUAACUCUUAUAAGGUAGACAGAGAGAGUUGUUCCUGUAUUCAUGAUGAGACAGUUAAGACACAGCAAAUUAAGUGACCAGUGCUAUUUGUUUGAAGAACUUAGUUUAUUCUUCUGUGUACUUAUUUUCCACAUCUGCAGAACUGUGACCAUCCUCCACAUAAUUUAUAGUCCAUACCAAGUAGUGGAUCAAACGAGCUCCUGCCAGGCAGUCACCAGCUUCUGAUGAGAACAGCAGCAUGCAGCCUGCACUUCAAUGCUGCACUCCCAAGACCAGCUGUGGCCCCCACACUGCCAGUGCUGUGUGUAACGGGUGCUCUGUAGUUCAGUAUUAUUGAUUUCCUAUAGAUUCUUUAUUUUUUAAAUAGCCCAUGUCAGUUUCUUUCUUUUAAGUGUGGGAAGGGUCCUAAGCUUUAGUUUCCUGUUCUGUAAAGAGGGAUGAUACUCUUUGCCUUGUUUAUCUACCAUGCAAUUAUUAUGAUCAAGUGAGAUUAUUUUUGUGAAGCCAUGUAAACUAUAAAGUGCUUUCCAAGCAUGAGGAAUUACUGUGGAUGAUCUUGAGUUUCACAUGGAGGUCAGGAGCAGUUAAAAUUGUUGGUUGUGAUACCAUCCAUAAUCUCUUCUCUCAACACCCUCUGCAAGCUCUAAGGGGGGGGGAUUGUAGGGGUCACACAGGUGUUAUUGCUAGAAAAUGAAAGAGCAGAAAGGCUUCACAAGCCCACUGAGAAGGACUUAGCUCACACUUCUGGGAACCAGUGUCCAAGGCGUGUGACCAUAGGAACAGAGACUCUCUGUCAGGAAGGAGUCACCAGCUGACUCCAAGGGCCGGGGUUUUUAUGAGGAGAGUCAG
RNAcentral lists this long non-coding RNA (3373 nucleotides) under Homo sapiens (human). RNAcentral's name for it is "HSALNT0342706". Lineage: Eukaryota; Metazoa; Chordata; Mammalia; Primates; Hominidae. The record is from RNAcentral.